This 484-nucleotide ribosomal RNA is filed under the name uncultured bacterium. RNAcentral describes it as "partial 16S ribosomal RNA". It matches the Rfam family "Bacterial small subunit ribosomal RNA", at positions 30 to 507 of the family's 1533-position model. The record is from RNAcentral.
AUUGAACGCUGGCGGCAGGCCUAACACAUGCAAGUCGAGCGGAUGAAGGGAGCUUGCUCCUGGAUUCAGCGGCGGACGGGUGAGUAAUGCCUAGGAAUCUGCCUGGUAGUGGGGGAUAACGUCCGGAAACGGGCGCUAAUACCGCAUACGUCCUGAGGGAGAAAGUGGGUGAUCUUCGGACCUCACGCUAUCAGAUGAGCCUAGGUCGGAUUAGCUAGUUGGUGGGGUAAAGGCCUACCAAGGCGACGAUCCGUAACUGGUCUGAGAGGAUGAUCAGUCACACUGGAACUGAGACACGGUCAAGACUCCUACGGGAGACAGCAGUGGGGAAUAUUGGACAAUGGGCGAAAGCCUGAUCCAGCCAUGCCGCGUGUGUGAAGAAGGUCUUCGGAUUGUAAAGCACUUUAAGUUGGGAGGAAGGGCAGUAAGUUAAUACCUUGCUGUUUUGACGUUACCAACAGAAUAAGCACCGGCUAACUUCGUG